GGGGACGCUAGGCCUCGAUGGAAAGAUCCUUUAAAACAAGCAAACCGAGGAUGUCAGCAUCUCGUAAAAAUCUGGCAAAAAUUAAGUGCAAACAAAUACGCACCUGCUGUAGCAUAAAACCUAUAGCCAUCCUGGCUGAAGAUUCUCAAUAUGCAGCCUAGGGUGAUAUAACCAUUGAGAUAAGUAUCUUUUUUAUCCUUUGAAAAGAUGCUGAAAAUAUAAAAGGAUAAGUUGAUUAAGUUUUUGCUUGCUUUAUACUUAUUCAACCAAACUCUAAGCAAGCUAAGUUUGUAGACUUGUUUUAAAAACCUUUCUAGACGUGGGUUCGAUUCCCACCGUCUCCACUA
RNAcentral lists this transfer-messenger RNA (347 nucleotides) under Candidatus Portnoyibacteriota bacterium. Its description in RNAcentral is "Candidatus Portnoybacteria bacterium transfer-messenger RNA". It matches the Rfam family "transfer-messenger RNA". Rfam says of the family: Bacterial tmRNA, also known as 10Sa RNA or SsrA, is named for its dual tRNA and mRNA-like properties. Its role is to liberate the mRNA from a stalled ribosome. The record is from RNAcentral. Lineage: Bacteria; Candidatus Portnoyibacteriota. RNAcentral also lists the same sequence under 1 other name.